Long non-coding RNA from Xenia sp. Carnegie-2017, 215 nucleotides. RefSeq lists it as uncharacterized. The record is from RefSeq and is a predicted model, not a curated record. Lineage: Eukaryota; Metazoa; Cnidaria; Anthozoa; Malacalcyonacea; Xeniidae. The transcript has 3 exons.
GGUGGACGCUUUUUGUGCUGGUAAAUGAUGAGAAAUACAAAGUGAACGUUGAUCGAAAUGUCGAUAGUUAUCUGAUGAAUAUCGACGGAACUUUUGUGAAAUUCCAUUCCUCGUCUAACCUUGCAUCAAAUCUUGUAGAAGCAACAAUAAAUGAGAAAAAGGUCUUUGUACAGAGUUUGUCAAAAAAUGGUCAAAAUAUCAAACUUCAACAUUAU